UUUCUUCCUAGAGAUAUAAGAAAGACGAAACUUCAGUCCCUUAAAACAUUCAGCUAGUGUGAAAGAGUCUGGUAUAUAGCUGUACUUGGAGCUCUCAUUCGACGUAUAUUUUUUGUUAAACCAUGGUACGCCAAACCAUUGAUCGAUUUGAGGUAAAACAAGAGAAAAUCAAAGUGUUGACUGUAACAAUUGUGAAAGCAAAUUAUGUGACCAUUCAAGGAUUUGUAACAAAAUAUUUAAGUUUUUUGCCUUUUGAAAAACCGGAUCCCUAUGUGAUGCUGCGAGUUCCAACCAGUCCCAACAGCAAACAACGGACAACAGUCAAGUCAGACACAUAUAAUCCAGUUUGGAAUGAAAGCUUUAAAUUUUACCUUAGUCAUGACAAGGAAAACAAACUAGAGAUAACUGUGAAAGAUGAGGAUGUUGUUUCAGAUGACAUGAUUGGCACACAGGAGCUUCGACUGGAUGACCUAGCUAUGGAUACUGAGAUUACAAAAAUGGUGAAAGUAAACGAGAAAACUGUUCUGGAGAUUAAAUUGCUGGUGAAAUACGAUGACACUAAGGAAUUGAGACUAAGCUAUGACUUGUGCGACGAAGAAAAGGAAUUUUUAAAGAAAAGAAAGGCAGAAAUUUUCAAAAACAUGUCAAGAAUUCUAGAUGAUGAUGCAGCACCGAAGAGCAUUGACGAGGUGCCAACGAUUGCCAUCAUGGGAUCAGGAGGAGGAUAUAGGGCUGCGUGUGGAUUAUCAGGGGUAUUUCGUGCACUUCAGGACGCCGGGAUAUUUGACUGUUCUUCAUAUGUCACUGGACUUUCCGGCUCAUCAUGGUACAUAUCGACAUUGUACAUGCACGAAGGGUGGCCUGAUCAUAUAACAUGUAAAAACAUGGCAGAGGAACUAAAGGAGAAAUUUGGAACCAGUAUGUGGACGCAUUUUCACGGUCAUUUUCUAAGACACAUGAAAGAAAAAGAACAGCGAGGUCAACUGGUCAGACUUGUUGAUUUAUUUGGAUUAUUUGUUGGAGAUUGCCUUUUGGACAAUCAAGAAUCAAAACUAAGCCACCAAACUCGUAAAAUCAAAUUCGGCGAAGUUCCUCUACCCAUUACAACUGGGAUCCGAGUACGUUUUGAUUUGCCAGCAGCUGAAUUUAGUGAAUGGGUGGAGUUUACACCAUUCGAAUAUGGUUUGGCCAAAUAUGGUGUGUUUGGGAAAAUGGAAGAAUUUGGAGGCAAGUUUUAUAAAGGGUGUUUGGUCAGGAAAUAUGAAGAGGCACCAUUGUCUUAUUUACAAGGAAUAUGGGGUAGUGCGUUUGGCAUAAUCCUUCACACACUGUUCAACAAGAAGCAUAACGAUGUAUCUGAAGAUGAUGUCUUAGGAGAGCUUGAAAAAACCGCUCUCGAAGAAGGAAGCCGGGUUAAAACUGCAGAUGAUGAAAGUGAUGACGAAGAGGAUCAAGAUGAAUUGCCUGAAGAUGAAAUAGACGAUGAUUGUUGGUUGGUAGAUGCCCUAAAUCCAGUCAAUCUCAUUGCGUCUCGGCGAGGAAAAGCUGCUGAAGUUUUUAACAUUCUACGAGGUCUGCAGUUCAAGAAGGAACAAGAAGAUGAUUUCGACUCGGCACCUGGAAAUCACAAGACAAUGUGCUUGGUAGACAGUGGUAUCGCAUUCAACUCGCCUUAUCCGACCAUCCUACGUCCUGAACGGAAAGUUGAAAUUAUUCUAUCGUUUGAUUUCAGUCAGAGAAGUGGCGGUGAUAAAGAAUUGCCAUUUAAAAAUAUCCUAAAAGCUGAACGCUGGGCCAAAGAGCAAGGGUUACCAUUUCCACAAAUCGAAGAGAACCCAGUGUUGAAGAAUACCGACAUUCAAGAAUGCUAUUUAUUUGAAGACCUGGGAAACCCCGAAUGUCCAAUCGUUUUACAUUUUCCUCUUGUGAAUAAGACAUUUAGGGAUUUCAGCGAACCAGGUAAAAAAAUGUUGGUCAUGUCAUAAAAAUGUUUUAACCCGUAAAUGUGACGCCUGCCUAGAUUCCCAUUUGACAUUUAAUAUUAUAAUAUCAGGAGUACCGCGGGUGACAGAAGAGGAUAAAGACUUUGGAAACUUCGACAUCUUUGAUGAUCCUGAAAAGCCUUAUUCGUCC
This 2133-nucleotide unclassified non-coding RNA is filed under the name Dendronephthya gigantea. RNAcentral describes it as "cytosolic phospholipase A2-like, transcript variant X2". Lineage: Eukaryota; Metazoa; Cnidaria; Anthozoa; Malacalcyonacea; Nephtheidae. The record is from RNAcentral.